AUUAGGAAAAGUUUCUCCAGUUCAUCGUCUGUGUUACUUCAACAUACCUGAUGUGGAGAAGAGACUUGAGCCACAGUUUCUUACAUCGAAGGGUGAAGACUACAGAUCCAAAAGAGAGUUGAGUGUGAUGACAGAGCGCCCAACUGAAAUGAGAUGCCACGUGAGAAUUCAGAGUGAUGAGAACUGGACGAGCGCAAAGUGACCCAAUGAGAAGCAGGAUGGAGUGAGGCACCUAAAGUAUCAGUCUGGCAUAGGAUGAGCAUUACACCACUGUACCAGAAGUGAAGCCAGAAUAUGACAAAAGUAGUAUAAGCAUCCUGCAGAUCAAUACAUGCCUGUGCAGGUGGUGUCACCAAAAGGGAUUCAGCUUCUUUGACCAUGGGAUGUUGUUCCAAAAAGAAGGAUUGCUAGGAAGUGA
RNAcentral lists this long non-coding RNA (418 nucleotides) under Crocodylus porosus (Australian saltwater crocodile). Its description in RNAcentral is "lncRNA (ENSCPRG00005015155.1)". The record is from RNAcentral. Lineage: Eukaryota; Metazoa; Chordata; Crocodylia; Crocodylidae.